CAUGGUAGAGACAUAAAUCUACAAAGUUUCUUCAAAAAAGAUUCUGAGACACCAAAAGGAGCUCUAUAGUAUUUAAAAAUAAGAAAGGGGGCAAUUUUGGUGUUCCACGUGAAAUUCGACUCCAAAACGUUGGCGUGCAUCUCCCCGAAAAAGGCGCUACCUAUAAGAGGUGCCGAUUGUGCAGCACAAAAAAAAAAGAAAAACGCACCAAUAUCUUGUGCUCCACAUGCAAAGUGGCAUUAUGUGCGCAGGGGUGUUUCAAACAGUUUCAUUUGUCUGAUUAAUGUUUUUUUUUAAUAAACAACUUUAAAAGAUUAA
This is a long non-coding RNA of Aricia agestis (brown argus), 318 nucleotides long. RefSeq lists it as uncharacterized. The transcript has 2 exons. The record is from RefSeq and is a predicted model, not a curated record. NCBI's taxonomy places the organism in Eukaryota, Metazoa, Arthropoda, Insecta, Lepidoptera, Lycaenidae.